This 253-nucleotide ribosomal RNA is filed under the name uncultured bacterium. RNAcentral describes it as "partial 16S ribosomal RNA". It matches the Rfam family "Bacterial small subunit ribosomal RNA", at positions 524 to 776 of the family's 1533-position model. The record is from RNAcentral.
UACGUAGGGGGCAAGCGUUGUCCGGAUUUAUUGGGCGUAAAGAGCGUGUAGGCGGCCAGGUAGGUCUGCUGUGAAAACUCGAGGCUCAACCUCGAGACGUCGGCGGAAACCAUCUGGCUAGAGUCCGGAAGAGGCGAGUGGAAUUCCCGGUGUAGCGGUGAAAUGCGCAGAUAUCGGGAAGAACACCCGUGGCGAAGGCGGUUCUCUGGGACGGUACUGACGCUGAGACGCGAAAGCGUGGGGAGCGAACAGG